RNAcentral lists this long non-coding RNA (317 nucleotides) under Nicotiana benthamiana. RNAcentral's name for it is "long non-coding RNA (NBEN_LNC017542)". Lineage: Eukaryota; Viridiplantae; Streptophyta; Magnoliopsida; Solanales; Solanaceae. The record is from RNAcentral.
CAGGGAUGCCGGAAAAUUACCCAAAACACCCACUGAUACAAGAUCGGAACCUUGAAUAACAGGAAAGUUCCGAUUAUCCGCUCAACAUUCAUUGAAACAUCUCCAAACAGUAUCUCUCGCCGGUAACCAUAAAAAAAACUUCAGCAAAAGCUUCGAACAGGAUCGAUAACACGCAACCGAGAAGGAUCCGAAUAUCAUCUGGCUCUGAUACCAUGAAAACCUGAAGAUUAAGCUAAAGAACAUGAAAAAUAUAGUGAGAGAAGAAGAGAGAGAAACGAGGUAGGUGAAGGAACUCUCUGGAAGAAGGCAGAGAAAAA